RNAcentral lists this ribosomal RNA (253 nucleotides) under uncultured bacterium. Its description in RNAcentral is "partial 16S ribosomal RNA". It matches the Rfam family "Bacterial small subunit ribosomal RNA", at positions 524 to 776 of the family's 1533-position model. The record is from RNAcentral.
UACGUAGGCAGCGAGCGUUGUUCGGAGUUACUGGGCGUACAGCGUGCGUAGGCGGUUUUGUAAGUUUGGUGUGAAAUCUCCCGGCUCAACUGGGAGGGUGCGCCGAAAACUGCAAGGCUGGAGUGUGGGAGAGGUAGGCGGAAUUCCUGGUGUAGCGGUGAAAUGCGUAGAUAUCAGGAGGAACACCUGUGGUGUAGACGGCUUACUGGACCAUAACUGACGCUGAGGCACGAAAGCGUGGGGAGCAAACAGG